AAUUCGAUUGAGUUUGAUCAUGGCUCAGGACGAACGCUGGCGGCGUGCUUAACACAUGCAAGUCGAACGGUGAAGCCCCUUCGGGGGUGGAUCAGUGGCGAACGGGUGAGUAACACGUGGGCAACCUGCCCCUAGCUCUGGGAUAACCCCGGGAAACCGGGGCUAAUACCGGAUAUGACCUCGAUUGGCAUCUUUCGAGGUGGAAAGUUUUUCGGCUAGGGAUGGGCCCGCGGCCUAUCAGCUUGUUGGCGGGGUAACGGCCCACCAAGGCGACGACGGGUAGCCGGCCUGAGAGGGCGACCGGCCACACUGGGACUGAGACACGGCCCAGACUCCUACGGGAGGCAGCAGUGGGGAAUAUUGCGCAAUGGGCGAAAGCCUGACGCAGCGACGCCGCGUGAGGGACGAAGGCCUUCGGGUUGUAAACCUCUUUCAGCAGGGACGAAGCGAAAGUGACGGUACCUGCAGAAGAAGCACCGGCCAACUACGUGCCAGCAGCCGCGGUAAUACGUAGGGUGCAAGCGUUGUCCGGAAUUAUUGGGCGUAAAGAGCUCGUAGGCGGUCUGUCGCGUCGGCUGUGAAAACCCGAGGCUCAACCUCGGGCCUGCAGUCGAUACGGGCAGACUAGAGUUCGGUAGGGGAGACUGGAAUUCCUGGUGUAGCGGUGAAAUGCGCAGAUAUCAGGAGGAACACCGGUGGCGAAGG
Molecule: ribosomal RNA, 705 nt
Filed under: uncultured bacterium
Lineage: Bacteria
Description: bacterial SSU rRNA
Rfam family: Bacterial small subunit ribosomal RNA
Source: RNAcentral